CCAUUAGGGAUGGAUUGUGAUUGUGAUUGGAUUGGAAUGGAAUCAUGCCUUCCCUUCCCACCCUCCUUCAUCCAUCUGGGCUUAAUCUAAUCUAAUGUAAUCCAUCCUCUAGGUCCUUCCUUGACACACGAUCCAGGUUUGUAGUGUUGCGGCUUGUGAGCUAGCAGUGCUAGUACUGGUGGUGUGUGAAAAAGAUGAGAUAACAGUGGCAGGGGAAUCAGCAGGGAAUCGGCAGAAAGGGUGAUGGAUGGACGGAUGGAUGGACGGACAUGAUGCGUCUGCUGGACAUAAAGGCCGGGCAUCAUUUGCGUCCAAGAAAAAAAUGCGACCAGUUGCCGUGUGUGAGCGUGUUUUUUUUUUAAUUCAUCCCUGGAAGAGUGCAAAGCACACGCCAUGCCAAGAAUAUCAGAUUGAGAUUGCCAUUUGCCAUGUGUGCAAUGCAAAUACUACCUUUUUACCAA
Hordeum vulgare subsp. vulgare (domesticated barley) is the source of this 461-nucleotide long non-coding RNA. RefSeq lists it as uncharacterized. The record is from RefSeq and is a predicted model, not a curated record. The transcript is spliced from 2 exons. Lineage: Eukaryota; Viridiplantae; Streptophyta; Magnoliopsida; Poales; Poaceae.